UACGGGGGGGGCAAGCGUUGUUCGGAAUUACUGGGCGUAAAGGGCUCGUAGGCGGCCAACUAAGUCAGACGUGAAAUCCCUCGGCUUAACCGGGGAACUGCGUCUGAUACUGGAUGGCUUGAGGUUGGGAGAGGGAUGCGGAAUUCCAGGUGUAGCGGUGAAAUGCGUAGAUAUCUGGAGGAAUACCGGUGGCGAAGGCGGCAUCCUGGACCGGCAUUGACGCUGAGGAGCGAAAGCUAGGGGAGCAAACGGG
Molecule: ribosomal RNA, 253 nt
Filed under: uncultured bacterium
Lineage: Bacteria
Description: partial 16S ribosomal RNA
Rfam family: Bacterial small subunit ribosomal RNA
Source: RNAcentral